Molecule: ribosomal RNA, 751 nt
Filed under: uncultured Actinomyces sp.
Lineage: Bacteria; Bacillati; Actinomycetota; Actinomycetes; Actinomycetales; Actinomycetaceae
Description: bacterial SSU rRNA
Rfam family: Bacterial small subunit ribosomal RNA
Source: RNAcentral
GACGAACGCUGGCGGCGUGCUUAACACAUGCAAGUCGAACGCUGAAGCCCAGCUUGCUGGGUGGAUGAGUGGCGAACGGGUGAGUAACACGUGAGUAACCUGCCCCCUUCUUUGGGAUAACGCCCGGAAACGGGUGCUAAUACUGGAUAUUCACUUGCCUUCGCAUGGGGGUUGGUGGAAAGGUUUUUCUGGUGGGGGAUGGGCUCGCGGCCUAUCAGCUUGUUGGUGGGGUGAUGGCCUACCAAGGCUUUGACGGGUAGCCGGCCUGAGAGGGUGGACGGUCACACUGGGACUGAGAUACGGCCCAGACUCCUACGGGAGGCAGCAGUGGGGAAUAUUGCACAAUGGGCGCAAGCCUGAUGCAGCGACGCCGCGUGAGGGAUGAAGGCCUUCGGGUUGUAAACCUCUUUCGUCAGGGAACAAGGCACUGCUUUUGGUGGUGUUGAGGGUACCUGGAUAAGAAGCGCCGGCUAACUACGUGCCAGCAGCCGCGGUAAUACGUAGGGCGCAAGCGUUGUCCGGAAUUAUUGGGCGUAAAGAGCUCGUAGGCGGCUGGUCGCGUCUGUCGUGAAAACUUCCGGCUCAACCGGGGGCUUGCGGUGGGUACGGGCCGGCUAGAGUGCGGUAGGGGGUAACUGGAACUCCUGGUGUAGCGGUGGAAUGCGCAGAUAUCAGGAAGAACACCGAUGGCGAAGGCAGGUUACUGGCCCGUUACUGACGCUGAGGAGCGAAAGCGUGGGGAGCGAACAGG